CGCUCGUAGUUGGAUAUCUGCCAAGGAGUUUCGGUCCUCCCCAGUGGAGAAUACGCGGAACAUUUCUUGGCACUUGUUCAGGGAAGGUGUUUGCACUUUGUUGUGCGUCACGUGAUCUGAAUUUUUACUUUGAGGAAAUGAGAGUGUUUCAAGCAGGCUUUUGCCAUGAAUAUGAUAGCAUGGAAUAAUAGCACAGGACCCCUUUCCAAAGCUGUUGGUUUUUGGAACGAGGUAAUCAUAAUAAGGACAGUUGGGGGUAUUCGUAUUUAACUGUCAGAGGUGAAAUUCUUGGAUUUUUUAAAGACGAACUAUUGCGAAGGCAUCUGCCCAGGAUGUUUUUGUUGAUCAAGAACGAAAGUUAGGGGAUCGAAGACGAUCAGAUACCGUCCUAGUCUUAACCUUAAACUAUGCCGACUGGAGAUUGGAGUUGUCAGUCCUUGACGUCUUCAGCAUCCUGAGAGAAAUCUAAGUCUUUGGGUUCCGGGGGGAGUAUGGUCGCAAGGCUGAAACUUAAAGGAAUUGACGGAAGGGCACCACCAGGAGUGGAGCCUGCGGCUUAAUUUGACUCAACACGGGGAAACUUACCAGGUCCAGACAUAGAUAGGAUUGACAGACUGAUAGCUCUUUCUUAAUUCUAUGGGUGGUGGUGCAUGGCCGUUCUUAGUUGGUGGAGUGAUUUGUCUGGUUAAUUCCGUUAACGAACGAGACCUUAACCUGCUAAAUAGUUUCCAAAACUUCGGUUUUCGGCUUACUUCUUAGAGGGACUUCGUGUGUUUAACAUGAGGAAGUUUGAGGCAAUAACAGGUCUGUGAUGCCCUUAGAUGUCCUGGGCUGCACGCGCGCUACACUGAUGUGUCCAGUAAGCACCUAACCUCAUCCGAAGGGAUCGGGUAACCUUUGCAACGCACAUCGUGAUGGGGAUAGAUUAUUGCAAUUAUUAGUCUUGAACGAGGAAUUCCUAGUAAGCACAAGUCAUCAGCUUGUGUUGAUUACGUCCCUGCCCUUUGUACACACCGCCCGUCGCUCCUACCGAUUGAAUGGUCCGGUGAAUACUUCGGACUGUGAAAUGUUUAGUUUCUAUCCAUUUCACGGAAAG
RNAcentral lists this ribosomal RNA (1096 nucleotides) under uncultured eukaryote. Its description in RNAcentral is "SSU rRNA". It matches the Rfam family "Eukaryotic small subunit ribosomal RNA", at positions 625 to 1754 of the family's 1831-position model. The record is from RNAcentral.